UACAGAGGGUGCAAGCGUUGUUCGGAAUUAUUGGGCGUAAAGCGCGUGUAGGCGGCUUUGCAAGUCGGGUGUGAAAGCCCUCAGCUCAACUGAGGAAGUGCGCCCGAAACUGCAGAGCUUGAGUGCCGGAGAGGGUGGCGGAAUUCCCCAAGCAGAGGUGAAAUUCGUAGAUAUGGGGAGGAACACCGGUGGCGAAGGCGGCCACCUGGACGGUAACUGACGCUGAGACGCGAAAGCGUGGGGAGCAAACAGG
This 253-nucleotide ribosomal RNA is filed under the name uncultured bacterium. RNAcentral describes it as "partial 16S ribosomal RNA". It matches the Rfam family "Bacterial small subunit ribosomal RNA", at positions 524 to 776 of the family's 1533-position model. The record is from RNAcentral.